UAACGCGUGGGUAACCUGCCUCAUACAGGGGGAUAACAGUUGGAAACGACUGCUAAUACCGCAUAAGCGCACAGGAUCGCAUGGUCCGGUGUGAAAAACUCCGGUGGUAUGAGAUGGACCCGCGUCUGAUUAGCUAGUUGGCAGGGUAACGGCCUACCAAAGCGACGAUCAGUAGCCGACCUGAGAGGGUGACCGGCCACAUUGGGACUGAGACACGGCCCAAACUCCUACGGGAGGCAGCAGUGGGGAAUAUUGCACAAUGGGGGAAACCCUGAUGCAGCGACGCCGCGUGAGCGAAGAAGUAUUUCGGUAUGUAAAGCUCUAUCAGCAGGGAAGAAGAAUGACGGUACCUGACUAAGAAGCACCGGCUAAAUACGUGCCAGCAGCCGCGGUAAUACGUAUGGUGCAAGCGUUAUCCGGAUUUACUGGGUGUAAAGGGAGCGCAGGCGGUGCGGCAAGUCUGAUGUGAAAGCCCGGGGCUCAACCCCGGUACUGCAUUGGAAACUGUCGUACUAGAGUGUCGGAGGGGUAAGUGGAAUUCCUAGUGUAGCGGUGAAAUGCGUAGAUAUUAGGAGGAACACCAGUGGCGAAGGCGGCUUACUGGACGAUAACUGACGCUGAGGCUCGAAAGCGUGGGGGAGCAAACAGGAUUAGAUACCCUGGUAGUCCACGCCGUAGACGAUGAAUACUAGGUGU
RNAcentral lists this ribosomal RNA (696 nucleotides) under uncultured bacterium. RNAcentral's name for it is "bacterial SSU rRNA". It matches the Rfam family "Bacterial small subunit ribosomal RNA", at positions 111 to 823 of the family's 1533-position model. The record is from RNAcentral.